RNAcentral lists this long non-coding RNA (271 nucleotides) under Elaeis guineensis (African oil palm). RNAcentral describes it as "long non-coding RNA (EGUI_LNC040217)". Lineage: Eukaryota; Viridiplantae; Streptophyta; Magnoliopsida; Arecales; Arecaceae. The record is from RNAcentral.
CCUCCAAUACUUAAGUCAAUUCAAACCUUGAGAACGGGGAUGAAAAAGAGUGAGAGAGUAAGAGAGAUCGAAUGGAACUGAAGGAGGAUUUGGUAGAUGUCAAGAUUUUGGCCUAGUUUCCCACCAGUAGAGUCUUCCCUAAUUUCAGAGAGCAAAACUUAUCCAUGGAGGAUCCUUAGCCCUCAUUUAUAGAGAGGUUGAGGAGGCCAUUCCAGAGUUUGUUAAGUUAUUAGAGAAGUUUGCUAGGUAGUUAGAGAGCCACCUGUAAGUA